Molecule: long non-coding RNA, 308 nt
Organism: Quercus robur (English oak)
Lineage: Eukaryota; Viridiplantae; Streptophyta; Magnoliopsida; Fagales; Fagaceae
Exons: 3
Source: RefSeq, a predicted model, not a curated record
CAAAAUUUUAUCUGAAACUCAUCACCGGUAGCUAGGAACUGGUUCUUCAUUGUAUCAAAUUGCACUACUCCCACAGACCGUUUCCAAAGACCAUUAUAUACAUGCUUGAUAGCCCCCUCACUUUCAUUCCAUUCGGCAAGGUAUGAUUCUCCUUCUUCACUAGUCCCACAUGAGAAUAGCCUAUGAUGCACAAAAUAAAAGAAACAUGAUAUGGAGUUGAGCAAUUGCCCAACCACAAUGAAAAUUUUAAGGAAAUAAAUAGUUGGAUAAGUAAUGUGUAAUAAAACAUCCUUACUACCUUGUCCCGU